UCCCUGGCAGUCCAAUGGUUAGGACACCAUGCUUCCACUGUGAGGAACACAGGUUCAAUCCCUUGUCAGGGAG
Molecule: transfer RNA, 73 nt
Filed under: Ovis aries (sheep)
Lineage: Eukaryota; Metazoa; Chordata; Mammalia; Artiodactyla; Bovidae
Rfam family: tRNA
About the family: Transfer RNA (tRNA) molecules are approximately 80 nucleotides in length.
Source: Rfam by way of RNAcentral